GAACUUUUGUACAAUUAGGCGGGAAAAUGACAUGGUAGAGUUAACUGUUGUUGAUGAAAGUGAAGACAUGGUAGAGUUAACUGUUGUUGAUGAAAGUGAAGAUUCAAUGGAUUUCACUGUAGUUGUAGGCUGAAAAAAAUAUCUACAAUGGGACAAGAGCAGUCAGGGGAUAAUUAAGAAGAAAAACGAAGACUUACACACUGUUCAUCGUGAACAUAAACAGCUGUUGCCCCUUCUAUAUGGUGGCAGCACCACUCAAUGUCCCCGUCUUCUAUGCGUACUGUUAUACCAUCUACUUUGAGUGUGGAUGGCUCAAACAAGCGAUCCAUUAUUAGGGUGGACACUUCCUUCCGUGGCUUCUUCAAGAUGUAAUCCUUGAUUCCAGUGUAACGACAGCGUAUGGCGUCUCUCUCGUUCUCACAAUCUUCUCCAAUUCUUUCAGACUUGCGUGCAGGUGACGCAAUAACUUGCACUAUCAAAACGAAGAUGAAGAUGUUCAUUUUAUCAAUUUGUUGUUGUUUGUUUACUGAAAAUUUUCUUACAUGAUAUGGCGCGAAAAUGAAAUGACAUUUGUAUGGGAAAGAGAUUUGACUAAAUACUAAAGAGAUACUUUUCAUAUUGUAAAGGAGAUUUAAAAUGUUUUUUUAGAAUUUUUAGUAUCAGUUAUCUUUCUAUGGUAUAAAUGAAUCAUAUUUUAAUAAUAUCAUUAAUUCUCUUUAUAUUAUUUUCAUGAGUUUGUUAAUUAACAAUAAUUUUGAGUACGUUGUAUUUAAAUGUUGGUAUUAAGUCACUGUUAUGUCUUUAAAACAAAACUCUGAUUGGUUGAAAAUAGAUUAAUUAUGUAGGGGAUAUACUAAAUAAAUAAACGAUGUGUAGGAGAGUGAAAUUAUUCCGGAAUAUUAUAUUUGUGCGUGUUUUAACUAGAAGGAAAAAUACAAUACAUUUCGGUUUAGUAUCAAUUUAAUUAUUGAUUGCUAUUUUUAUAUCCUUUUAAAAAGAAGACUAAAUCAAUCAUAAGUGGUCUGUCGCGCCCCGUUUCUUUCUUCAAUGUCUUUAAUCCAUUUUCUUAAUUUUGGAAUUUCUACAUCUUCCUCAUUGUCAAAAAAAAACAUGCUUUGCUUUUUUUUUUCUGUGCCCCGAGGGAUUCCCGGGAUAUAGAAAUAGGGCCUAGCCUCUCCAAUCUGCUGAGUGGUACGACCCCACCAAAGGGAGAGAACUUUCUGUUGUGAAAAAUAAUAAUUUAAAAUAAACUAAUAUAUAUAUACAAUUUAACCAUUUAAAUACAUCGUCUUUUUUCGUUGGCUACUCUUCUCCGCAGAAGCUACGGGGUAUAUAAAUAUAGUUUCAACAGGACGUGUCAAAUCUUUGAUCACUCCCCAAGUGGUCUGUCGCGCCCCGUUUCUUUCUUCAAUGUCUUUAAUCCAUUUUCUUAAUUUUGGAAUUUCUACAUCUUCCUCAUUGUCAAAAAACAUGCUUUGCUUUUUUUUUUUCUGUGCCCCGAGGGAUUCCCGGGAUAUAGAAAUAGGGCCUAGCCUCUCCAAUCUGCUGAGUGGUACGACCCCACCAAAGGGAGAGAACUUUCUGUUGUGAAAAAUAAUAAUUUAAAAUAAACUAAUAUAUAUAUAUACAAUUUAACCAUUUAAAUACAUCGUCUUUUUUCGUUGGCUACUCUUCUCCGCAGAAGCUACGGGGUAUAUAAAUAUAGUUUCAACAGGACGUGUCAAAUCUUUUAUCACUCCCCAAGUGGUCUGUCGCGCCCCGUUUCUUUCUUCAAUGUCUUUAAUCCAUUUUCUUAAUUUUGGAAUUUCUACAUCUUCCUCAUUGUCAAAAAACAUGCUUUGCUUUUUUUUUUUCUGUGCCCCGAGGGAUUCCCGGGAUAUAGAAAUAGGGCCUAGCCUCUCCAAUCUGCUGAGUGGUACGACCCCAUCAAAGGGAGAGAACUUUCUGUUGUGAAAAAUAAUAAUUUAAAAUAAACUAAUAUAUAUAUACAAUUUAACCAUUUAAAUACAUCGUCUUUUUUCGUUGGCUACUCUUCUCCGCAGAAGCUACGGGGUAUAUAAAUGUAGUUUCAACAGGACGUGUCAAAUCUUUUAUCACUCCCCAAGUGGUCUGUCGCGCCCCGUUUCUUUCUUCAAUGUCUUUAAUCCAUUUUCUUAAUUUUGGAAUUUCUACAUCUUCCUCAUUGUCAAAAAAACAUGCUUUGCUUUUUUUUUUUUCUGUGCCCCGAGGGAUUCCCGGGAUAUAGAAAUAGGGCCUAGCCUCUCCAAUCUGCUGAGUGGUACGACCCCAUCAAAGGGAGAGAAAUUUCUGUUGUGAAAAAUAAUAAUUUAAAAUAAACUAAUAUAUAUAUACAAUUUAACCAUUUAAAUACAUCGUCUUUUUUCGUUGGCUAAUCUUCUCCGCAGAAGCUACGGGGUAUAUAAAUGUAGUUUCAACAGGACGUGUCAAAUCUUUGAUCACUCCCCAAGUGGUCUGUCGCGCCCCGUUUCUUUCUUCAAUGUCUUUAAUCCAUUUUCUUAAUUUUGGAAUUUCUACAUCUUCCUUAUUGCCAGAAACAUGCUUUGUGUAAGUGUUCCCCUAUUCUUGCGUUGUCUUUUUUUUCCCCUCUGGUAUGUAUUUUUAUGUUAUAUGAAUUCAAUGUCAUUCUUUAUUGGUUGCGAUAUUUGUUGUGUUAUGUGCACGUGUAAUUUUUUUGUAUGAAUAAAUUGUGGGACUUUGGCGGGAAAUUUGUGGGUGGGAAAAUUUCCCAAAAUGAUUAUUCAAAUUUUCAUGCUUCAAAACGGACUAAUGGUAUGACAUGAAGCUUUUUGGGGUGGGUGGAGUUAAUUUUUUCUUGACAAGGGGUUGGUUUCAUCGCAUCUUACAGAGAGUACAUAUAUAAAGACUUUCUCAUUUCUAAUUUCUCAUAGAAUAAAAGUCUUUUAUUAAUAAUUAUUAUGGAGAAUAGCUCUAGGUUUGUUUUUCUUCAAAAAAUGAGAAAUGGGAAAAUAGAAUUUUCCCACCGCUUUGGAAAUCAGAAGAAUUUACUGAUGCAGCAGUCAUCAAUAGGGAAAUUUUGGAUAAACGUCUAUGAUAAUAGACCAAAUUUUGGAGGACGGAUUUCGUUUUCUUUCGAAGAAGCUGUACAGUUCGGGGAACUGGUAAGCCAGCUUGAACUCUUAAAAGAAAACUUCAAAGUAAGUUAUUUUUCUUAUUUAAAAACAUUUGUGGUAUAAUUGCCCAAUAGGACAAAAUAAAAAUGUUUUUUUUUUUUGUCAAUGAGACAAAUGGUAUUUGCCAAUGAGACAAAAAAAAGUGGUAUUAGCUCAGGUGUCAAAACAGUCAAUUAAGUUGAAAAUAUGUUUUUAUAAUAUGUAAAUGCUGUCUUAAAGCUAAAAUAAGGGGGUGGGUGGGUUUUAAUAAUGUAUGUUGAUCUUAUUAUAUAACUUAUCAGACUUGAAGUUUGUUCUACCAAACACAUAUUCAUUUUCGAAGAACUAACUUUCGCUUAAGGAACGAAAAAAAUAUAUAAAACUUAUAAAAUAUAUAAAAAAAAUGCAAAAAAAAAAAAAUAAAUAAAAAAAAUAUUUUAGGAGAAUAAAAGUACCAGUGGGCCAAAUUAUCAACCCGAAGCUAGUGGAUCUGUAACCUAUGAUCAAGAACCUUUUGGGUCUGCAACCUAUGCAACCUAUAAGCCAGAAUAUAAUUUACCAUCCUCAAGGGGAUCAGCAGAAAUGCCUCCACCACCUCCACCAUAUACGGCUCCCAAAAAAAGGAGAAUAGAAGAGGUGAACAGUGUAGACCUUUUAGGUCUAUUUAAUGACGUAAAUACUCAAUAAAAAAUCUAUGUACUCUCUGUAAGAUGAAGUUUGUUUGAGGCAUUCCAUUAAAGUUUUUAAAAAAUAAAAAAAAUUUUAUUUCAAAUUACAUAGUAUAUUAUAAAAUAAAACAUAAAACAUAAUUGAUAUAAAGAUUUUGGAUUAAUCAUAUUUUAAAAUGUCCAUAGGCAUAACUCUUAAUAUGAUUAAUCCAAAAUCUUUUCUCAUCAAAAUUAGAUAAACCUUUUUUGACAAUAUGGUUGACAAAGAGUUCAUGAUUUUGACUUUUUAUCAAUUUCAUUGAAUUCAUUGUCGAUGCAUUUUGAAAUAAACAUUCUUUAUAAUUGGCAUGUUUUAACUGUUUUUUGACGGCACAUUUUUUUAUUCCUUUGGCAGUUUUCUUUUCCUGUUCCGUGUUGUCGUCAUCAUAUAUCAAACUGUACAUUUUUGGUCGCAAUCCAAUAAACUCUUUAAUUGGAACGCCUGAAACAAAACGAAAUUCAUCAAGUAUUUAGUUAAAAAUUAGGUUUAAAAUUAGGUUAAAAAGAAAUAGAUUUUUGUAAAAUAAAAAAAAUCUCAAUGGUAUUAUUUUUUUUCUUUGGACUUUGUUUUUUUUAUAUUCAAUAUUUGUUAUUUUUAAGUUUUUGUUAAUCGAUUAAUAAUAAAAUUAGUUACCAUCUA
Long non-coding RNA from Mytilus californianus (California mussel), 4478 nucleotides. RefSeq lists it as uncharacterized. The transcript has 3 exons. The record is from RefSeq and is a predicted model, not a curated record. Lineage: Eukaryota; Metazoa; Mollusca; Bivalvia; Mytilida; Mytilidae.